RNAcentral lists this ribosomal RNA (108 nucleotides) under Candidatus Babelota bacterium. RNAcentral also lists the same sequence under 2 other names. The record is from RNAcentral.
UCUGGUGGCAUUUCCUGCAGGGCCACACCCGUUUCCAUCCCGAACACGGAAGUUAAGCCUGCGGGGCCGAUGGUAGUCCAGUAGGGCGAGAGUAGGUGGCCGCCGGAA